UGGCAGGAUUAAUUGUCUCAGGUGCUGUAGGGCAGAGGAUUACUAGCAGUGGCCUCAUGGGGCGCUAUAAAGGGCAAAGAAGCCUUCACUCGGCCAGGGGCAGCAUUUGGCCAUUGGAACCGCCCACUUCCUGUUUUCACACCUCCGGCUAGCCUCACAGGUAAAGUAGCGGUGGUAGGCUAAGGACAAGAGUUUGUUCGCUGCCUCAUAUUAACACACUCUUUCAGCUCCGGAUGAGACCUGCAGGCACAGAUUGAGCAAAAUACAGCCUCUGCAAUCGAGCGCGCCUCCCAGGUGACGAACAGUCUGUCUGCGCCGGGGACUUUCUGACGCUCCCACCUGCUGAACAGCUGCUGCUUUUUAUAUAUUGAAUUUUAGAAUUAUUUUAAGGAACUGUCACCGCUCGUGAUCAGAAUCCCUGUAGACUCCUGACCAGGGUUCUGCCGGGCCCGGCUGCUCCUCAGCUGCCUUUGAGCCUGAGCAACGGAGGACUAACGGGGCGUCACGCCUGAAUCCUCCACCAACGAGAAUAAAAGCUCGGCCGCGCUCCGUUCAUUGAGCAGCACCCUACGGGCGGACUUACUCUCACGAGAGUUUCUUUUAUUUUGUUUUUAGCAUUUUUACACAAUUCUUUUAGACCUGUGUUUUAACUGGAUUUUAUUGUGUGAUCCACCUUUGUUUCCCCCCUCCCUCAGUGCUGAGGACUCAGGUGCCAGCCCAGAAUUCUAGGUGGAGGCUAUCCCCCCAGUUUGGAGUGACGUGUCCUUGGGUGAAGGUUUCACAGUGUGUGUGUGGUCUGCAUCACAAGCAGCAGCUGGUUCCGCUUGGAAGUGAGGAAGGUGAUUUGUGCAAGUGCUGAGGACUCAGGUGCCAGCCCAGAAUUCUAGGUGGAGGCUAUCCCCCCAGUUUGGAGUGACGUGUCCUUGGGUGAAGGUUUCACAGUGUGUGUGUGGUCUGCAUCACGUGAGUGGGGUGAAAUUUUAUCUUUGUUCUCUGGGAGCCUCCACCUCCCUUAAGUCUUCUGGUCCUCAGCAUACUGAAUUUGUUGUGUAUGUCUUUUAACGGGUCCAUUUUUAAUUGGUUUUAAUGUUUUGUAAUAAAAUCAUUUUAAUUUUUGUA
Oryzias latipes (Japanese medaka) is the source of this 1119-nucleotide long non-coding RNA. RefSeq lists it as uncharacterized. Lineage: Eukaryota; Metazoa; Chordata; Actinopteri; Beloniformes; Adrianichthyidae. The record is from RefSeq and is a predicted model, not a curated record.